This 373-nucleotide ribosomal RNA is filed under the name uncultured prokaryote. RNAcentral describes it as "bacterial SSU rRNA". It matches the Rfam family "Bacterial small subunit ribosomal RNA", at positions 524 to 896 of the family's 1533-position model. The record is from RNAcentral.
UACGAAGGGGGCUAGCGUUGCUCGGAAUUACUGGGCGUAAAGGGCGCGUAGGCGGCUUAGUCAGUCAGGCGUGAAAUUCCUGGGCUUAACCUGGGGUCUGCGUUUGAGACGGCUAGGCUAGAGGGUAGGAGAGGGUCGUGGAAUUCCCAGUGUAGAGGUGAAAUUCGUAGAUAUUGGGAAGAACACCGGUGGCGAAGGCGGCGACCUGGCCUAUUACUGACGCUGAGGCGCGACAGCGUGGGGAGCAAACAGGAUUAGAUACCCUGGUAGUCCACGCCGUAAACGAUGUGCGCUGGAUGUUGGGGCCCAUAGGGUCUCAGUGUCGUAGCUAACGCGGUAAGCGCACCGCCUGGGGAGUACGGCCGCAAGGUUG